Molecule: ribosomal RNA, 528 nt
Filed under: uncultured Actinomycetes bacterium
Lineage: Bacteria; Bacillati; Actinomycetota; Actinomycetes
Description: bacterial SSU rRNA
Rfam family: Bacterial small subunit ribosomal RNA
Source: RNAcentral
AGAGUUUGAUCCUGGCUCAGGACGAACGCUGGCGGCGCGCCUAACACAUGCAAGUCGAGCGAGAACCAGGGCUUCGGCCCUGGGGACAGCGGCGAACGGGUGAGUAACACGUGGAUAACCUGCCCUCGGCACCGGAAUAGCCCGGGGAAACCCGGAUUAAUGCCGGAUAGCCCCACAUCCCUGCGGGGAACGUGGGAAAAGGUAGCUUCGGCCUCUGGCCGAGGAUGGGUCCGCGGUGGAUUAGCUUGUUGGCGGGGUAACGGCCCACCAAGGCGACGAUCCAUAGCUGGUCUGAGAGGACGAUCAGCCACACUGGGACUGAGACACGGCCCAGACUCCUACGGGAGGCAGCAGUGGGGAAUCUUGCGCAAUGGGCGAAAGCCUGACGCAGCGACGCCGCGUGCGGGAAGAAGGCCUUCGGGUUGUAAACCGCUUUCAGGAGGGACGAAGCCACUCGGGUUAAUAGCCCAGAGGGUGACGGUACCUCCAGAAGAAGCCCCGGCUAACUACGUGCCAGCAGCCGCGGUA